GUUCGAGCGUCAUUACACCCCUCAAGCCUGGCUUGGUGUUGGGCCCCGCUGCUCACGUAGCGGGCCUUAAAAUUAGUGGCGGUGCGUCUGGCUCUAAGCGUAGUAAUACUUCUCGCUAUAGGGUCCAGUCGUUUACCCGCCAGAACCCCCAACUUUCUUAGGUUGACCUCGGAUCAGGUAGGGAUACCCGCUGAACUUAA
RNAcentral lists this unclassified non-coding RNA (200 nucleotides) under soil metagenome. Its description in RNAcentral is "partial contains internal transcribed spacer 2 and large subunit ribosomal RNA". The record is from RNAcentral.